RNAcentral lists this ribosomal RNA (497 nucleotides) under uncultured bacterium. RNAcentral's name for it is "partial 16S ribosomal RNA". It matches the Rfam family "Bacterial small subunit ribosomal RNA", at positions 28 to 507 of the family's 1533-position model. The record is from RNAcentral.
GAUGAACGCUGGCGGCGUGCCUAAUACAUGCAAGUCGAGCGAACGGACGAGAAGCUUGCUUCUCUGAUGUUAGCGGCGGACGGGUGAGUAACACGUGGAUAACCUACCUAUAAGACUGGGAUAACUUCGGGAAACCGGAGCUAAUACCGGAUAAUAUUUUGAACCGCAUGGUUCAAAAGUGAAAGACGGUCUUGCUGUCACUUAUCGAUGGAUCCGCGCUGCAUUAGCUAGUUGGUAAGGUAACGGCUUACCAAGGCAACGAUGCAUAACCGACCUGAGAGGGUGAUCGGCCACAUUGGAACUGAGACACGGUCCAGGCUCCUACGGGAGGCAGCAGUAGGGAAUCUUCCGCAAUGGGCGAAAGCCUGACGGAGCAACGCCGCGUGAGUGAUGAAGGUCUUCGGAUCGUAAAACUCUGUUAUUAGGGAAGAACAUAUGUGUAAGUAACUGUGCACAUCUUGACGGUACCUAAUCAGAAAGCCACGGCUAACUACGUG